RNAcentral lists this ribosomal RNA (283 nucleotides) under uncultured bacterium. Its description in RNAcentral is "partial 16S ribosomal RNA". It matches the Rfam family "Bacterial small subunit ribosomal RNA", at positions 44 to 334 of the family's 1533-position model. The record is from RNAcentral.
GUGCUUAACACAUGCAAGUCGAACGAGUGUAGCAAUACAUUCGUGGCGAACGGGUGCGUAACACGUGGAUAACCUUCCUUCAGGUGGGGAAUAACCCAGUGAAAAUUGGGCUAAUACCGCAUAACAAGACGAUGGCACAUGCCGUUGUCUUCAAAGGCGCAAGUCGCCAGAAGAGGGAUCCGCGGCCGAUUAGCUUGUUGGCGGGGUAACGGCCCACCAAGGCAAUGAUCGGUAGCCGGACUGAGAGGUUGGCCGGCCACACUGGAACUGAGACACGGUCCAG